CCUACGGGAGGCAGCAGUGGGGAAUAUUGCACAAUGGGGGAAACCCUGAUGCAGCCAUGCCGCGUGUAUGAAGAAGGCCUUCGGGUUGUAAAGUACUUUCAGUAGGGAGGAAGGCAGUGUCGUUAAUAGCGGCAUUGUUUGACGUUACCUACAGAAGAAGCACCGGCUAACUCCGUGCCAGCAGCCGCGGUAAUACGGAGGGUGCGAGCGUUAAUCGGAAUUACUGGGCGUAAAGCGCAUGCAGGUGGUCUGUUAAGCAAGAUGUGAAAGCCCGGGGCUCAACCUCGGAACAGCAUUUUGAACUGGCAGACUAGAGUACUGUAGAGGGGGGUAGAAUUUCAGGUGUAGCGGUGAAAUGCGUAGAGAUCUGAAGGAAUACCGGUGGCGAAGGCGGCCCCCUGGACAGAUACUGACACUCAGGUGCGAAAGCGUGGGGAGCAAACAGGAUUAGAUACCCGUGUAG
Molecule: ribosomal RNA, 463 nt
Filed under: uncultured bacterium
Lineage: Bacteria
Description: bacterial SSU rRNA
Rfam family: Bacterial small subunit ribosomal RNA
Source: RNAcentral